ACGGUCGCGUCUUUUACAUUGACCACAACACGCGCCAGACGUCGUGGAUCGACCCCCGCGACCGCCUCGCCCAUCCCGGUCCCGGGCGUCUGCGGCCCACUGCCCCGGCCCUGGUUCUGCAGGUGUCCCCAGCCCCGCGGUGGCGAGAUGAGCUGUCACCUUGGAUCACAAACGUGCGCCCCAGCUUUGGGGUGCGGGUUCCCUGUCUGGCGGGUUCAGGCUGGUUUCCAUCCAAAACCUGAUGUCAGACGGGCCCUUGAGGGAUUCCCAACCCUUUUGGAGUUGGAGAAGUCUGUUCCCAAACUCUAGUUGCUCUUUAGCGCCUUAAAACUCGUGAGUUAAAACUGUUUGAAAUAGCCUUCUGUACUGCAGCCAGAAUGCAAUAUGAUUAGUCCCAUAUGCUUUUGGAAUAAACGAAAAACAAGAAUUGUAUUUUAAGUUUCCUUUUUGUGAAAGAUAUGCAUGGGGUACAAAGCUGUCUUAUUCACGUAUAAAAACCCAAUCAAGUAAAAACUGAUUCUUGUAAAAGCA
Molecule: long non-coding RNA, 531 nt
Filed under: Homo sapiens (human)
Lineage: Eukaryota; Metazoa; Chordata; Mammalia; Primates; Hominidae
Description: non-protein coding lnc-CLDN34-2:1
Source: RNAcentral